RNAcentral lists this ribosomal RNA (1438 nucleotides) under Staphylococcus haemolyticus. Its description in RNAcentral is "bacterial SSU rRNA". It matches the Rfam family "Bacterial small subunit ribosomal RNA". The record is from RNAcentral. Lineage: Bacteria; Bacillati; Bacillota; Bacilli; Caryophanales; Staphylococcaceae.
GCGUGCUAUACAUGCAGUCGAGCGAACAGACAAGGAGCUUGCUCCUUUGACGUUAGCGGCGGACGGGUGAGUAACACGUGGGUAACCUACCUAUAAGACUGGGAUAACUUCGGGAAACCGGAGCUAAUACCGGAUAAUAUUUCGAACCGCAUGGUUCGAUAGUGAAAGAUGGUUUUGCUAUCACUUAUAGAUGGACCCGCGCCGUAUUAGCUAGUUGGUAAGGUAACGGCUUACCAAGGCGACGAUACGUAGCCGACCUGAGAGGGUGAUCGGCCACACUGGAACUGAGACACGGUCCAGACUCCUACGGGAGGCAGCAGUAGGGAAUCUUCCGCAAUGGGCGAAAGCCUGACGGAGCAACGCCGCGUGAGUGAUGAAGGUCUUCGGAUCGUAAAACUCUGUUAUUAGGGAAGAACAUACGUGUAAGUAACUAUGCACGUCUUGACGGUACCUAAUCAGAAAGCCACGGCUAACUACGUGCCAGCAGCCGCGGUAAUACGUAGGUGGCAAGCGUUAUCCGGAAUUAUUGGGCGUAAAGCGCGCGUAGGCGGUUUUUUAAGUCUGAUGUGAAAGCCCACGGCUCAACCGUGGAGGGUCAUUGGAAACUGGAAAACUUGAGUGCAGAAGAGGAAAGUGGAAUUCCAUGUGUAGCGGUGAAAUGCGCAGAGAUAUGGAGGAACACCAGUGGCGAAGGCGACUUUCUGGUCUGUAACUGACGCUGAUGUGCGAAAGCGUGGGGAUCAAACAGGAUUAGAUACCCUGGUAGUCCACGCCGUAAACGAUGAGUGCUAAGUGUUAGGGGGUUUCCGCCCCUUAGUGCUGCAGCUAACGCAUUAAGCACUCCGCCUGGGGAGUACGACCGCAAGGUUGAAACUCAAAGGAAUUGACGGGGACCCGCACAAGCGGUGGAGCAUGUGGUUUAAUUGGAAGCAACGCGAAGAACCUUACCAAAUCUUGACAUCCUUUGACAACUCUAGAGAUAGAGCCUUCCCCUUCGGGGGACAAAGUGACAGGUGGUGCAUGGUUGUCGUCAGCUCGUGUCGUGAGAUGUUGGGUUAAGUCCCGCAACGAGCGCAACCCUUAAGCUUAGUUGCCAUCAUUAAGUUGGGCACUCUAAGUUGACUGCCGGUGACAAACCGGAGGAAGGUGGGGAUGACGUCAAAUCAUCAUGCCCCUUAUGAUUUGGGCUACACACGUGCUACAAUGGACAAUACAAAGGGCAGCGAAACCGCGAGGUCAAGCAAAUCCCAUAAAGUUGUUCUCAGUUCGGAUUGUAGUCUGCAACUCGACUACAUGAAGCUGGAAUCGCUAGUAAUCGUAGAUCAGCAUGCUACGGUGAAUACGUUCCCGGGUCUUGUACACACCGCCCGUCACACCACGAGAGUUUGUAACACCCGAAGCCGGUGGAGUAACCAUUUGGAGCUAGCCGUCGAAGGUG